UACGUAGGGUGCAAGCGUUGUCCGGAAUUAUUGGGCGUAAAGAGCUCGUAGGCGGUCUGUCGCGUCUGCUGUGAAAACUCAGGGCUUAACCCUGAGCUUGCAGUGGGUACGGGCAGACUAGAGUGCGGUAGGGGAGACUGGAAUUCCUGGUGUAGCGGUGAAAUGCGCAGAUAUCAGGAGGAACACCGGUGGCGAAGGCGGGUCUCUGGGCCGUAACUGACACUGAGGCGCGACAGCGUGGGGGAGCAAACAGG
Molecule: ribosomal RNA, 254 nt
Filed under: uncultured bacterium
Lineage: Bacteria
Description: partial 16S ribosomal RNA
Rfam family: Bacterial small subunit ribosomal RNA
Source: RNAcentral